CAAGUCGAACGGGAUUAAGGGGCUUGCCUCUUAAUUUAGUGGCGCACGGGUGAGUAACGCGUGGAUAACCUGCCCUGGUAUCCGGGAUAACAUCUCGAAAGGGGUGCUAAUACGGGAUAAGCCCACGGGGUCUUCGGACCUUGCGGGAAAAGGUGGCCUCUGAAUAUGCUGCCGUAUCAGGAUGGGUCCGCGUACCAUUAGCUAGUUGGUAGUGUAAUGGACUACCAAGGCUACGAUGGUUAGCUGGUCUGAGAGGAUGAUCAGCCACACUGGAACUGAGACACGGUCCAGACUCCUACGGGAGGCAGCAGUGGGGAAUUUUGCGCAAUGGGGGAAACCCUGACGCAGCAACGCCGCGUGAGUGAUGAAGGCCUUCGGGUCGUAAAGCUCUGUCAGAGGGAAAGAAGUGUAGCAUGGUUAAUACCCAUACUACUUGACGGUACCCUCAAAGGAAGCACCGGCUAACUCCGUGCCAGCAGCCGCGG
Molecule: ribosomal RNA, 485 nt
Filed under: uncultured bacterium
Lineage: Bacteria
Description: bacterial SSU rRNA
Rfam family: Bacterial small subunit ribosomal RNA
Source: RNAcentral